CAGUCGCCACGGUAAUACGUAGGGUGCAAGCGUUAAUCGGAAUUACUGGGCGUAAAGCGUGCGCAGGCGGUCCGCUAAGACAGAUGUGAAAUCCCCGGGCUUAACCUGGGAACUGCAUUUGUGACUGGCGGGCUAGAGUAUGGCAGAGGGGGGUAGAAUUCCACGUGUAGCAGUGAAAUGCGUAGAGAUGUGGAGGAAUACCGAUGGCGAAGGCGGCUACCUGGACUGACACUGACACUGAGGCGCGAAAGCGUGGGGAGCAAACAGGAUUAGAGACCCCUGUAGUCCCUGUCUCUUAUAC
RNAcentral lists this ribosomal RNA (301 nucleotides) under uncultured bacterium. RNAcentral describes it as "partial 16S ribosomal RNA". It matches the Rfam family "Bacterial small subunit ribosomal RNA", at positions 509 to 807 of the family's 1533-position model. The record is from RNAcentral.